GCUGGGUGCGGUGGCACACACACCUGUGGUCCCAGCUACUCGUGAGGCUGAGGCGGGAGGACUGCUUGAGCCUGUGAGUUCUGGGCUGUACUGAGCUUUGCUGAUCCAGGGUUCACAUCAAUGUGGUGACCUCCCUGGACUGGCAGGACCACCAGGUUGCCUAAGGAGGGAUGAACCCAUCCAAGUCAGAAACCAACCAGGGCAAAACUCCCAUGCUGAUCUGAUCUGGGAUCACAUCUGUGAACAGCCACUGCACCCAGCUGGGCAACACAGCGAGACCCUGU
RNAcentral lists this signal recognition particle RNA (284 nucleotides) under Cebus imitator (Panamanian white-faced capuchin). Its description in RNAcentral is "Metazoan signal recognition particle RNA (ENSCCAG00000010934.1)". It matches the Rfam family "Metazoan signal recognition particle RNA". Rfam says of the family: The signal recognition particle (SRP) is a universally conserved ribonucleoprotein. The record is from RNAcentral. Lineage: Eukaryota; Metazoa; Chordata; Mammalia; Primates; Cebidae.